CCACUAUAGUCCUCCAUUGAGGUUACUUGUGGCUCUGUCUCUGUGUGUGUAUGUGUGUAAUUCCCUUCCACGGUGUUGAAGAGUAAGCCUGUCCCUGGUUUUAGAGUCAAUAAGGGCAGCAAUCUUUAUAUUCCUAUAACUUCUCCGUCUCUAGACAGUUACUGAGAAGGAACCAUGCAGGAUGAAGCU
This 189-nucleotide small nucleolar RNA is filed under the name Sternotherus odoratus. Its description in RNAcentral is "Small nucleolar RNA SNORA73 family". It matches the Rfam family "Small nucleolar RNA SNORA73 family". Rfam says of the family: U17 (SNORA73A and SNORA73B) also known as E1 belongs to the H/ACA class of small nucleolar RNAs (snoRNAs). Lineage: Eukaryota; Metazoa; Chordata; Testudines; Kinosternidae. The record is from Rfam by way of RNAcentral.